This 492-nucleotide ribosomal RNA is filed under the name uncultured bacterium. RNAcentral's name for it is "partial 16S ribosomal RNA". It matches the Rfam family "Bacterial small subunit ribosomal RNA", at positions 29 to 507 of the family's 1533-position model. The record is from RNAcentral.
AGUGAACGCUGGCGGUAGGCCUAACACAUGCAAGUCGAACGGCAGCACAGUAAGAGCUUGCUCUUACGGGUGGCGAGUGGCGGACGGGUGAGGAAUACAUCGGAAUCUACUUUUUCGUGGGUGAUAACGUAGGGAAACUUACGCUAAUACCGCAUACGACCUACGGGUGAAAGCAGUGGAUCUUCGGACCUUGCGCGAUUGAAUUAGCCGAUGUCGGAUUAGCUAGUUGGCGGGGUAAAGGCCCACCAAGGCGACGAUACGUAGCUGGUCUGAGAUGAUGAUCAGCCACAAUGGAACUGAGACACGGUCCAGACUCCUACGGGAGGGAGCAGUGGGGAAUAUUGGACAAUGGGCGCAAGCCUGAUCCAGCCAUCCCGCGUGGGUGAAGAAGGCCUUCGGGUUGUAAAGCCCUUUUGUUGGGAAAGAAAAGCAGCAGGUUAAUACCACGCUGUUCUGACGGUACCCAAAGAAUAAGCACCGGCUAACUUCGUG